UUAUUGGCCCAUUCAUUGGCGCAGGUAUAUAAACUGUCCUCAUGGACUCAAGCAUCCAUUUCCCCCCUCGCCGGCAUCGAGCUUGUUGUUUUGUUUUGUUUCGUUUCCACCAGGACAUACUCCACCAAGUGUCCGUACUUAGACUCCCCACCAUCAGAUCAUGUUGUCAACAUUAGCUCGUAUUACCUUGACAGUAUUGUUGGUAUCAGUAGUGGUGCUACCAUCCCACGGCAACUUUUAUGGGAAAAGGGGAGACAAAGAUGAUUUGUACAGCGCCAUCUUGCAGGCUGCCGAGUCACCCAGCAGACGAGAUUUAACAGCAGAUUUCGAUACAGAGUCAGCUAUUGAAAGUGUAUUGAGGAUGGCGAGACAACAAGAAUCUAAAUUUACUGAAACAAAACGUGGUUGAUGUAAAACAAGAAAAUCAAGAGAAAUUCGGAAGUAAUAUAGUGUUGAAAUUUUAUAUCUACUGAAUGAAAUAAAUGCACAGGGACAUUUGUAAUAUAUAUUUACUCUGUAUUUAAUUCUUUGUCAUUUGUUGUAUGUAGAAAAACUUGGACAGAAGAUUAGAUUCGUAAUUUUUUUUUAACAUUUAUUAUUUUAUCUUUCAGUAAAAAGUUGGCUAGAAAUAAACAUACAUCUAAAUUAUUUAAUAUCCGUUAUUAGAAACCUUUUGUUAAUAUUAAUAUGAUAUUUUACUUCGAGAUGCGAUUCUAAUAUCCCGUUAAAUCUGUGUAAAAUAGCCUGGUGUUUUAGCAUUAUUAAAAGGGGAAAUAAUUGCAUAAAUUUUUUAAACCUGUACAUUUGAUUCUGCUAUACAAAUGUAUGCUUUACCCCAUGUAUUAAAGACUUCUAUUAAUUACAUCAAUUCUUAAACUUAGACGAGCAGCUGCUGUAUAUUAUUGUAACCAUACUACAUUGAAUUUUUUAGAUCACUAGUGGUGUAACAUACACAAACUACAACCCAAUUUGUUAUAGAAAAGAAAGAAAAUAUCCUCUUACAAAUAAUUGCAGAGCUGUAUGGAUAUAAUAGAAGCGUCAAUGAUGAACAACAAAUUUUAAAACAAAACAGAUGUACUUUUGUAGUUUAAUUUAAAGAUACUUUUGUAGUUGAACAUAGACCAGCUAGACUAUAUCUUGUAGGUUGCUACUUGUAGCCUUUCUAGUGCAAGCUUCUAUACACUUCAAUAAUAUUAUAUUCAAAGAAGUUCAUGCAAAGCAAUAGAAGUGAAAGUCUAGGAGUCUUAAUUUUUUUUUAUUAACUGAUUCAUUAAAUGUUGCUUUAUUUGCAAUGAUCAACACAUUUGUUCCGUGAUGAUCAAAGGGAAAUAAGUCAUCUUUAUAAAACUAUAGAAAGGGAUAUAAAUCAAAAUAAAUUAAAGAAUCAACAAUUUUAAGUUGUCUCAAACUUUCUUUGGGUUGAAUGAAUGUACAGAGAUAAAUAUAAUUUAGAAAAAUGAUUCUAUAAAGUGUAGAAUUGUAUGUCCUUUUUAUGUACUAGAUUUGAAUCUUGAGAGUGGUUAUAAAAUUUCAAUAAAAUAUUUUGUCUUCUUUCA
Molecule: long non-coding RNA, 1556 nt
Organism: Biomphalaria glabrata
Lineage: Eukaryota; Metazoa; Mollusca; Gastropoda; Planorbidae
Exons: 5
Source: RefSeq, a predicted model, not a curated record